UUUGAACUCACAAUGCUUAAGUCCUGGAAAAUCAUAGGUGGGGGAAAUGUCUGUACCAAGAUUUAGCCAAAAAAUAAACUUUGGAGAAUAUGAUAAUUACGUUCCAGUCAGUGAAUUAAGCAAAAAAUCAUGGAAUCAGCAACAUUUUGCCCUGGUAUUUCCCAAACCACCAAGGCCAGGAAAAAAAAGGAGAUCAAAACCUUCCCUACUACAAGAAAAUACAAGUCCUAAAUAUGAUGCAGAGAAGUUAAGGGGAGAUCGUAAACAACCUUUAUGGAUGCACCGUUCUUUAAUGAGAAUUUCUGAGAGACCAUCUGUUUAUUUAGCUGCCAGGAGUCGGCAUCCCCAGAAAGAAACUCCUCCCUCCCAGGAGGAUGCUAAACAGGCAGCAAAACCUUCAUCUCCGAUUGUUAAGAAAAGUAAAGAAGACAAGGACAAAUCAGAUUCAGAAGCAGAGUCCAUAGUUUCAAAGGAAAAACCCAGGAAACUUUCAAAAGCUAAAGAAGAGAAACCAGAUGAAAAGAAAGAUUUAAAAAAAGAAAGAAAAGAUUCAAAGAAGGGCAAGGAAUCAGCGACAGAAUCUGAAGAUGAAAAAGCAGGUGCAGAGAAAGGUGCUAAAAAAGGUAAAAAAGGUUCAAAGAAGGGCAAGGAGUCUGCUACAGAAUCAGAAGGUGAAAAAGGAGAUGCAAAGAAAGAUGACAAAAAAGGUAAAAAAGGUUCAAAGAAGGGCAAAGAGUCUGCUACAGAAUCAGAAGGUGAAAAAGGAGAUGCAAAGAAAGAUGACAAAAAAGGUAAAAAAGGUUCAAAGAAGGGCAAAGAGUCUGCUACAGAAUCAGAAGGUGAAAAAGGAGAUGCAAAGAAAGAUGACAAAAAAGGUAAAAAAGGUUCAAAGAAGGUCAAGGAGUCUGAUUCAAAGGCAGAAGGUGAUAAAGGAGAUGCAAAGAAAGAUGACAAAAAAGAUAAGAAAGGUUCAAAGAAGGGCAAGGAGUCUGCUACAGAAUUAGAAGGUGAAAAAGGAGAUGCAAAGAAAGAUGACAAAAAAGGUAAAAAAGGUUCAAAGAAGGGCAAAGAGUCUGCUACAGAAUCAGAAAGUGAAAAAGGAGAUGCAAAGAAAGAUGACAAAAAAGGUAAAAAAGGUUCAAAGAAGGGCAAAGAGUCUGCUACAGAAUCAGAAGGUGAUAAAGGAGAUGCAAAGAAAGAUGACAAAAAAGAUAAGAAAGGUUCAAAGAAGGGCAAGGAGUCUGCUACAGAACCAGAAGGCGAAAAGAAAGAUUCAAAGGAUAAGGAAGGGAAAAAAGAUCCAAAGAAAGCAGGUGAGAAAGGUGAUGAAUCAAAGGACAAAAAAGAUGCAAAGAAGAAGGACAGUAAAAAAGAAAAGAAAGAUGAGAAGAAGCCUGGUGAGGCAGAAAGUGAGCCAAAGGAUUCAGCCAAGAAGGAUGCCAAGAAGGACGCCAAGAAGGAUGCCAAGAAGGAUGCCAAGAAGGAUGCCAAAAAGGGAAAGUAGGCCUUGGAUGAUAAUUCAAAAGCAUAUUUGAUGAAACAAUUUUAGUAGUCUGAAACUGCAUCUAUGAGUGGAAGUUGUAUCCAAAGAAUUAAUGACAUAAUUUGUAAAAUGUGGGAAAGAAGAAUUCAAAAGAUGGACUCAAAAAAGCUUCAUUAAAAAAAAAUAAGGAAAAACAUUAAAAGGGCUUGGAGGUUAGUUACAAAAUAUUUGGGGAGACGAGGAUUCAAAGAAAGACCCCCAGAAAGAUUCAAAAAGAAUAUUCAAAUAAGAAAGUAGAAGUUAAUGAUGUUGAAUCUAUGGAUACAAGGAAGAAACAAAAUCAACAAAGGAGUAAAAAAAAAUCAUGGAUACAGAUGUUGAAUACAUAGAUUUAAACAACUUGAAGUUAAUACCCACAGAUUUAAAUAAAGAAUCGUAGAAGUCGGAGGGGAAGUCAAACAAAUUUCAUAAAAUCUACUUUCAAAUAAGCACAAAUACAGCAUUCCUAAAAAAAAAAAAAAAAAAAAGAAAAGAAAAAAAAAGGAAAAAGAAAAAAAAAAUUACUGCUUUUUUGUGAGCCUAUACCAUCUCUGAAGAAUAACCAGCCACAAACAAGUUGAUGGAUAUUGAAUACUCUGCUUCCAAGACAAGAUAAACAUACUUGAAAAUGGUGGCCAAUUUCUCUCCAUUUAAGGAAUGACGUAAAUCAAAAUUGUCCAAAUUACAAAUGACUGCCAUGAAGAUGUAUUGAAAGUUCUACCACACAUGAAGAGUCUAAUACCCCACUCAUUUGAUGAUUUGCCAGCUCUAAUUUUGAAAGAACAUACUGACCACAAUGGUAAAAAUAUCAAUUUUAAAAAAAUCUACUCUCUGUAUUAUGUGCAUCUAUUUCCCUAUUUUCCUGUGUGUUCUGACCAAACUUACAACUAGCACACAGUUGCAUGUGGCUUCUGUUUUGUCAAACUAUUA
RNA transcript from Bubalus bubalis (water buffalo), 2452 nucleotides. It is a transcript of the gene named cylicin 2, with no coding region annotated. Lineage: Eukaryota; Metazoa; Chordata; Mammalia; Artiodactyla; Bovidae. The transcript is spliced from 6 exons. The record is from RefSeq and is a predicted model, not a curated record.